UUUUUUUACAGGAGGGUCCUGCAGACUGAACUUGGGAAUUUCACCAGAAGCAGCAAAAGAAAACACACCCAGAAGGAAUCCCAGCUGGUUACCUGGAAACCAAUGACUUGCAGCUCAUUAUGAAGAUCGUCCAGAACUCUCCUGCCAUCGAAGAUAAACGCUGGUUUCAGCAUCUUCUUGUGAAUACGGUCAUAGUCCAGGUCCUGUAGAGCACAGAGAAAAUAAGUAACACAUUCUGUUUGUAUCUUUAAAGAUACAAGAACUAAAAUAAAGCCCUCACACACAGCAAAAGUCACCCACUUUUUACCUUAAACAUGUCCCAUUCAGUGCAGAUAACAAGGGCGUGAGCUCCAUCACAGGCUUCAUAUGGAUCUUUACUUAUAGUGACCAGUCGAGACACUGCAAUAGAAGGAAGAGCAAGUUUCUUUCUGCAUAGGUCUAUCUCCAAGCACUCCUGGAGAGGCAGUCUCCUUCCUUACUCUGC
Long non-coding RNA from Nothoprocta perdicaria, 484 nucleotides. RefSeq lists it as uncharacterized. NCBI's taxonomy places the organism in Eukaryota, Metazoa, Chordata, Aves, Tinamiformes, Tinamidae. The transcript is spliced from 2 exons. The record is from RefSeq and is a predicted model, not a curated record.